Molecule: long non-coding RNA, 246 nt
Filed under: Capsicum annuum
Lineage: Eukaryota; Viridiplantae; Streptophyta; Magnoliopsida; Solanales; Solanaceae
Description: long non-coding RNA (CANN_LNC006702)
Source: RNAcentral
AUCAGUACACUCAAAGCAAAGCUAUGCCAUGAAGUCUCCAGAGACCUUUGCACAGGCUGUAAAUCCCGCAAUAGCCUAGGCAACACCUACUCCUCCUAUCAGAGAAGAAUUCAAAUUCAUUACCACUCAAGUAAUGCCCAUUAUUGCUUUGGAUAAGGAAUAUGAGGGCUAUCCUCUAGAACAGCUUAUUAAACCAGUCUACAACUACAAAAUUUUGUGGAUACAGAAAGUCCACUUAAAACUAGA